ACUCAGGUAAUUUAAUUUAAAAUAUUGAUUUGUGGUGUCAAAUUUAUGGAGUACGUUCAUCUUGGGUC
RNAcentral lists this transfer RNA (68 nucleotides) under Pseudomegarcys japonica. Its description in RNAcentral is "tRNA-His". Lineage: Eukaryota; Metazoa; Arthropoda; Insecta; Plecoptera; Perlodidae. The record is from RNAcentral.